RNAcentral lists this ribosomal RNA (253 nucleotides) under uncultured bacterium. RNAcentral describes it as "partial 16S ribosomal RNA". It matches the Rfam family "Bacterial small subunit ribosomal RNA", at positions 524 to 776 of the family's 1533-position model. The record is from RNAcentral.
UACAGAGGGUGCAAGCGUUAAUCGGAGUUACUGGGCGUAAAGGGCGCGUAGGUGGUUAGUUAAGUGAGAUGUGAAAAGCCUGGGCUUAACCUAGGACGUACAUUUUAAACUGACGAGCUAGAGUACUGUAGAGGGUAGUGGAAUUUCCGGUGUAGCGGUGAAAUGCGUAGAGAUCGGAAGGAACACCAGUGGCGAAAGCGACUACCUGGACAGAUACUGACGCUGAGGCGCGAAAGCGUGGGGAGCAAACAGG